Molecule: ribosomal RNA, 365 nt
Filed under: Cutibacterium acnes
Lineage: Bacteria; Bacillati; Actinomycetota; Actinomycetes; Propionibacteriales; Propionibacteriaceae
Description: partial 23S ribosomal RNA
Rfam family: Bacterial large subunit ribosomal RNA
Source: RNAcentral
AAGUCGGUCCCAAGGGUUGGGCUGUUCGCCCAUUAAAGCGGUACGCGAGCUGGGUUCAGAACGUCGUGAGACAGUUCGGUCCCUAUCCGUCGCGGGCGUUGGAAAUUUGAGAGGAGCUGUCCUUAGUACGAGAGGACCGGGAUGGACACACCGCUGGUGUACCAGUUGUUCUGCCAAGAGCAUCGCUGGGUAGCUAUGUGUGGACGACGCUGAAAGCAUCUAAGCGUGAAGCCCCCCUCGAGAUGAGAUUUCCCAUCAUUUUAAAUGAGUAAGACCCCUGAGAGACGAUCAGGUAGAUAGGCUAGAAGUGGAAGUGCCGCGAGGCAUGGAGCGGACUAGUACUAAUCGGUCGAGGACUUAACCAC